GACGAACGCUGGCGGCGUGCUUAACACAUGCAAGUCGAACGGAAAGGCCCUGCUUUUGUGGGGUGCUCGAUUGGCGAACGCGUGAGUAACACGUGAGUAACCUGCCCUUGACUUUGGUAUAACUUCAGGAAACUGGGGCUAAUAUCGUAUAGGAUCUCCUGCUGCAUGGUGGGGGUUGGAAAGUUUCGGCUGUUGGGGCUGGACUCGCGGCUUAUCAGCUUGUUGGUUGGGUAGUGGCUUACCAAGGCUUUGACGGGUAGCCCGCCUGGGAGGGUGGACGGCGACAAUGGGACUGCGAUACGGAGCAGACUGCAACGGGAGGCAGCAGUGGCGAGUAUUACCCAGUGGGACGAAGCCUGAUGAGGAAGCGUCGCGUGCGUGAUGACGGCCUUCGGGUUGAGAAAAGCAUCCGCUUGUGACGCAGCGUGAGUGACGGUAAUGGAUAAAGAAGCACCGGCUAACUACGUG
This 468-nucleotide ribosomal RNA is filed under the name uncultured bacterium. RNAcentral's name for it is "partial 16S ribosomal RNA". It matches the Rfam family "Bacterial small subunit ribosomal RNA", at positions 28 to 507 of the family's 1533-position model. The record is from RNAcentral.